AGAAGAUUACAAAGGUGGGAUACAGAUUUGAAAUACAUUGGCCGGCAGGUUCAUCAUACCUCCGGAGACUGAAGCUCCAACUACGGAGAGACUAAAACACAAUAACAUGAUGACUAAAGAAACAGAAUAUGAAACAAUCUAAGCUAGAAGAAGUGGGUAACAACAUAAAAUAAACCUUCACCCAAAAGAGAUCAAUAAAGCAUGAUGACUUGAACAAAGCUUCUUUGAACAAGGCAAAGCGAGGAAGCCAUCCAUGGCUACAACCUCCGUGCGAAUCCUCCUAAUAGCUCAUGCAGAUGAAAGACCAAAGCUUCAAGCUCUAGGAGACAUAACACGUCAUGUUCAAAAGUCUUCAACUGGAAGUCGAUGGAGGAGUUGAAUCGAUAAGCCAAAGAAGCUGGACAGAAAAUAAGAUCUCGAUCAAAUCUGUAAAGGAAAGGAUAAGGAGCGAAACAACUCAUAAUCAUGAACAACUCAUUCGAGAGACUGAGAAGGUCGAAGAUCGAGACCAUGUAUGAACCAAAGAAAGCUCAAAAUCAACAUGCAAUUCAAUCAAACCACACACAAGUUCCAAGAUAGAACUAGAUCUGAAGGGAACGAGGAUAUAAUCCACUUCAACUAGAAAUAUUGACAAAAUAGAUCAACCGAAAACUCUCAUUCUCUUCGGAAAAGGAUCAUAUCGGAGAUCUGAAAACAACCUGUUGAGAGAAACGAGAAUAACCUAGUAGAUCUAACUGGAGAACACAACAUAAAACAAAAAGAGGAGCAAAGAUCGCCCCCAAUUUUAUGGAAGCAACC
This 798-nucleotide long non-coding RNA is filed under the name Brassica napus (rape). RNAcentral's name for it is "long non-coding RNA (BNAP_LNC017895)". The record is from RNAcentral. Lineage: Eukaryota; Viridiplantae; Streptophyta; Magnoliopsida; Brassicales; Brassicaceae.